GGUCAGGCUGAAGACCUUACCCGAUUAGCUGAGAGGUGGUGCAUGGCCGUCGUCAGUUCGUACUGUGAAGCAUCCUGUUAAGUCAGGCAACGAGCGAGACCCACGUCCACAGUUGCCAGCAUACCCUCCGGGGUGAUGGGUACACUAGGUGGAGACCGGCCGCUGCUAAAGCGGAGGAAGGAGUGGGCAACGGUAGGUCAGUAUGCCCCGAAUCUCCCGGGCUACACGCGGGCUACAAUGGUUGGUACAAUGGGCAUCUACCCCGAAAGGGGAAGGAAAUCUACUUAAAGCCAAUCGUAGUUCGGAUUGAGGGCUGCAACUCGCCCUCAUGAAGCUGGAAUCCGUAGUAAUCGCGUUUCAACAGAACGCGGUGAAUACGUCCCUGCGUCCUU
Molecule: ribosomal RNA, 392 nt
Filed under: uncultured Methanosaeta sp.
Lineage: Archaea; Methanobacteriati; Methanobacteriota; Methanomicrobia; Methanotrichales; Methanotrichaceae
Description: bacterial SSU rRNA
Rfam family: Archaeal small subunit ribosomal RNA
Source: RNAcentral